GCGGGAUUAGUUCAGCGGUAGAACGUCUGCUUUCCAAGCAGAAUGUCAGGGGUUCGAUCCCCCUAUCCCGCUCCA
RNAcentral lists this transfer RNA (75 nucleotides) under Candidatus Daviesbacteria bacterium RIFOXYD1_FULL_41_10. Its description in RNAcentral is "tRNA-Gly". It matches the Rfam family "tRNA". Rfam says of the family: Transfer RNA (tRNA) molecules are approximately 80 nucleotides in length. Their secondary structure includes four short double-helical elements and three loops (D, anti-codon, and T loops). The record is from RNAcentral. RNAcentral also lists the same sequence under 1 other name. Lineage: Bacteria; Candidatus Daviesiibacteriota.